Molecule: ribosomal RNA, 468 nt
Filed under: uncultured bacterium
Lineage: Bacteria
Description: partial 16S ribosomal RNA
Rfam family: Bacterial small subunit ribosomal RNA
Source: RNAcentral
GACGAACGCUGGCGGCGUGCUUAACACAUGCAAGUCGAACGGAAAGGCCCUGCUUUUGUGGGGUGCUCGAGUGGCGAACGGGUGAGUAACACGUGAGUAACCUGCCCUUGACUUUGGGAUAACUUCAGGAAACUGGGGCUAAUACCGGAUAGGAGCUCCUGCUGCAUGGUGGGGGUUGGAAAGUUUCGGCGGUUGGGGAUGGACUCGCGGCUUAUCAGCUUGUUGGUGGGGUAGUGGCUUACCAAGGCUUUGACGGGUAGCCGGCCUGAGAGGGUGACCGGCCACAUUGGGACUGAGAUGCGGCCCAGACUCCUACGGGAGGCAGCAGUGGGGAAUAUUGCACUAUGGGCGGAAGCCUGAUGCAGCAACGCCGCGUGCGGGAUGACGGCCUUCGGGUUGUAAACCGCUUUCGCCUGUGACGAAGCGUGAAUGACGGUAAUGGGUAAAGAAGCACCGGCUAACUACGUG